GGAUGAGCCCGCGUCCCAUCAGUUUGUUGGUGGGGUAAUGGCCCACCAAGGCUAUGAUGGGUAGCUGGUCUGAGAGGAUGAUCAGCUAUAUUGGAAUUGAGAUAUGGUCCAGAUUUUUAUGGGAGGUAGUAGUGGGGAAUUUUGCGUAAUGGGCGAAAGCCUGACGCAGCAACGCCGCGUGUGUGAUGAAGGUCUUUGGAUCGUAAAGCACUGUCGCGAGGGACGAAUAAGUCUUCGGUUAAUAUCCGGGGACGAUGAUGGUACCUCGAGAGGAAGCACCGGUUAAUUCUGUGUUAGUAGUUGCGGUAAUACAGAGGGUGCAAGCGUUGUUCGGAAUUAUUGGGCGUAAAGCGCGUGUAGGCGGUCUGCCAAGUCGGGUGUGAAAGUCCUCGGUUUAAUCGAGGAAGUGCGCCCGAAAUUAGCAGACUUGAGUACCGGAGAGGGUGGUGGAAUUUUUGGUGUAGAGGUGAAAUUUGUAGAUAUUGGGAGGAAUAUUAGUGGUGAAGGUGGCCACCUGGACGGAUACUGACGCUGAGACGCGAAAGCGUGGGUAGUAAAUAGGAUUAGAUAUCCUGGUAGUCCACGCUGUAAAUGAUGAGCGCUAGGUGUUGUGGGUGUUGAUCCCCGCAGUGCCGCAGUUAAUGCAUUAAGCGCUCCGCCUGGGAAGUAUGGCCGUAAGGCUAAAACUCAAAGGAAUUGAUGGGGGCCCGCACAAGCGGUGGAGCAUGUGGUUUAAUUUGAUCCAUGUGCAGAAUUUUACCUGGUCUUGAUAUCCUCGGAAUCCUUUAGAGAUGAGGGGGUGCCCGUAAGGGAACCGAGAGAUGGGUGCUGUAUGGCUGUCGUCAGCUCGUGUUGUGAGAUGUUGGGUUAAGUCUUGUAACGAGUGUAACCCCUGCCGUUAGUUGUUAUUAUUUAGUUGGGUAUUUUAACGGGACUGCCGGCGUUAAGCCGGAGGAAGGUGGGGAUGACGUCAAGUCCUUAUGGCCUUUAUGACCAGGGUUAUAUACGUGCUAUAAUGGCCGGUAUAGAGGGUUGUUAAGUCGUGAGACGGAGUUAAUCCUAGAAAACCGGCCUUAGUUCGGAUUGGAGUCUGUAAUUUGACUCCAUGAAGUUGGAAUCGCUAGUAAUCGCAGAUUAGUAUGCUGCGGUGAAUAUGUUUCCGGGCCUUGUAUAUAUCGCCCGUCACACCAUGGGAGUCAGUUGCUCCAGAAGUGGCUGUGCCAACCCGUAAGGGAGGCAGGUCCCUAAGGAGUGGCUGGUAACUGGGGUGAAGUCGGAAUAAGGUA
Molecule: ribosomal RNA, 1286 nt
Filed under: metagenome
Description: bacterial SSU rRNA
Rfam family: Bacterial small subunit ribosomal RNA
Source: RNAcentral